RNAcentral lists this long non-coding RNA (1071 nucleotides) under Anser cygnoides (Swan goose). Its description in RNAcentral is "lncRNA (ENSACDG00005015961.1)". Lineage: Eukaryota; Metazoa; Chordata; Aves; Anseriformes; Anatidae. The record is from RNAcentral.
CAAGGCCUUGAGGAUCCUCGGGUGGGGGGGCUGGAAAAGCAGGGGGGGGGGGGGGUCAGGGUCUCACCAGCCCCGCAGGACCCCCGGGGCUGUGACAGCCCCGCAGUUUUUCAGGUAUUUGUAGGAUUUUUUUCAGGGGGGGUUCAAAGUGAGCUAGGUGGGCUCAUCAUUAAAACCGUGGGGAGCAAUCCCAGCCCCACAGCAGCACCCCCCAAACACUCACCUCAACCCCCGAGCUCCCCCCGCACCGCAUCUGGGGGCUCCUCAGCCCCCCGCUGUCACCCUGCGGGCACAAAAAGGGACGAGUCGGGGUCACCCCCUGGCCCAGACACCCAGCGCUCCCCCCCCCGGUGCCCGUCCCAGCAGGGAUCAGAGUCCGAGUCCUCAACAGCAGCGUUCAGCCGAACGAGAUUCCUGAGGAAUUCAUCACGGCAGCAGGGACGGGCUGCGGGGUCCCUGCACCCCCCCGGCCCCUCACCUGCACAGCAGCACCAGGGCAGCUCCAGCUCAGCUCCAAUCCUGGAAGAAACGCCCCCGUUAGCUCAGCACCACACCACGUCCACCCCCAGCACCCCAGCCCCGCAUCCCCUCAGACCGUUCCCACAGAACGAGCCGUCCUCCUCUCCGGCCGCCGGCACCAGUGGGUUCAACCUUUGCAGGUUCUGGCGCCAGACGGGCAGUAAGACGCGUGAGGUUUUCCUCAUCGGGGACAAAGAACAGAAUUUGAUCAUAAAAAAAGAGCUGGAAACUCACCAUUGGCCCUCAGUCCGGGCCAGGCGGCUGUGGAGGGAAGGAGGGGUCAGCGCUGAAGGCAGCAGCGCAGCCCGGGCUGCCCGCUGCCGUCCGAUCAGGGCUUUGGUAACUCGGAUCUGCCAUGAGACUCGUGUCGUCCAGCUCAGCGUGUCAUCCCUUCGGACUGGCACCAGCCAGGCCCGCGCGCAGCAGGGGAGGCACACGCUUACCUGGGCCGGGGCAUCCCCGCUCCCGAGAGCUCAGCCUGCGGGAAGGAAAGCAGCCGUGAGGCAGCCGGCAGGAGGGAUGCUGCCACCGCUGGAACUGGAAUUCCACUGA